This is a long non-coding RNA of Gadus macrocephalus (Pacific cod), 957 nucleotides long. RefSeq lists it as uncharacterized. Lineage: Eukaryota; Metazoa; Chordata; Actinopteri; Gadiformes; Gadidae. The record is from RefSeq and is a predicted model, not a curated record. The transcript is spliced from 3 exons.
AGUCUGUGUUUGUUUUGAUAGUCUGUCUGGACUAACAACUGCAGUUACAGUUUUCCUCUUCUUCUGAAGUUCAGAUCAUUUUCAUUGUUCUUUCUUACAAACAGUACAGUAGCGUGCUUAAGACUUGGCCCACCUAGCUUGCUGCAAUGUUGUGGCUGUACAGACUUAUGUAUUUUUCUUCUUCUUCAUUAAAGCACAAGCCGUAAAUAGAGGAAAUUUGUUCAGUGCAUUAAAAGGACAAACAUCUAGGCUAGUUUAUGUUAUAACAUUGCUAAAACAACAGAUGUAAUGGUGGCCCAAGAGUUUUGCACGGAACUGUACAUGGCUUUUCUGCGGUUGCAGACUCCUUGCCAGUUUCCAAUUGGCCUUAUAUCAAGGUCCUACCUACUAAGUUCAGUAACUCAAUUCCUAUGGUGUUCACAGAUCACCCUGGAGGCUGUUGGACAACUUGGUCUCUCAGAGCACAGCUGUAGCUGUGCUGCGGGCAAAGGCUUCUGUAGCCAUGUAACCACUCUGCUCUUCCAGACAGCGCAUUAUGUGCAAAUGGGCCUUGAUGUGGUUCCACCUUCCCUGGCCUGUACCAGUCAACCACAGAUGUGGCAUCGACCUAGAACACAGGGAAUCCAUCAAGAGGCUGUGAGUGACCUUGUGGUGAAAAAACCCAAGUCGGUGGGGAAGAGUCAAGUCCACACUCCAAAGAGCGUAUGCUGAGGGAAUAUCCAGCUUGGAGUUGGUACCAUCUCAGAUGUGCUGACCUGGAAGAUGUCAGCAAUGACCUGUUCUUUAAGGCCAGUUGCUACUCUACAACAGUAGAUGAAAAACUCAUCAAUGACUGGAAUCUUCCUUGAAGGGCUUGGUGUUGGAAUCGCCUCUUGUCCAAUCCUCUGUGCUUUGCUCCAAUAAACAAUAUAUUGUGUUGAGGGGCAAACAGACUCCCAAAACAUUUGAAACACUUCU